Molecule: ribosomal RNA, 508 nt
Filed under: uncultured fungus
Lineage: Eukaryota; Fungi
Description: SSU rRNA
Rfam family: Eukaryotic small subunit ribosomal RNA
Source: RNAcentral
AGCAGCCGCGGUAAUUCCAGCUCCAAUAGCGUAUAUUAAAGUUGUUGCAGUUAAAAAGCUCGUAGUUGAAUUUCGGGAUCAAUUUAUCGGUCGUGCCUAUGGUAUGAACUGGUACAAUUGGUUUCUCCCUUCUGACGAAGCAUGAUGUCAUUAAUUUGGUGUCGUGGGGAAUCAGGACUGUUACUUUGAAAAAAUUAGAGUGUUUAAAGCAAGCAUUAGCUUGAAUACAUUAGCAUGGAAUAAUGAAAUAGGACGUUUGAUCCUAUUUCGUUGGUUUCUAGGAUCGACGUAAUGAUUAAUAGGGAUAGUUGGGGUCAUUAGUAUUCAAUUGUCAGAGGUGAAAUUCUUGGAUUUAUUGAAGACUAACUACUGCGAAAGCAUUUGCCAAGGAUGUUUUCAUUAAUCAAGAACGAAAGUUAGGGGAUCGAAGACGAUCAGAUACCGUCGUAGUCUUAACCAUAAACUAUGCCGACUAGGGAUCGGAUGAUGUUAAUUUUUUAAUGACUCU